RNAcentral lists this ribosomal RNA (495 nucleotides) under uncultured bacterium. RNAcentral describes it as "partial 16S ribosomal RNA". It matches the Rfam family "Bacterial small subunit ribosomal RNA", at positions 28 to 507 of the family's 1533-position model. The record is from RNAcentral.
GACGAACGCUGGCGGCGUGCCUAAUACAUGCAAGUAGAACGCUGAAGGAGGAGCUUGCUUCUCUGGAUGAGUUGCGAACGGGUGAGUAACGCGUAGGUAACCUGCCUGGUAGCGGGGGAUAACUAUUGGAAACGAUAGCUAAUACCGCAUAAUAGCAGUUGUUGCAUGACAACUGUUUGAAAGGUGCAAUUGCACCACUACCAGAUGGACCUGCGUUGUAUUAGCUAGUUGGUGGGGUAACGGCUCACCAAGGCGACGAUACAUAGCCGACCUGAGAGGGUGAUCGGCCACACUGGGACUGAGACACGGCCCAGACUCCUACGGGAGGCAGCAGUAGGGAAUCUUCGGCAAUGGACGGAAGUCUGACCGAGCAACGCCGCGUGAGUGAAGAAGGUUUUCGGAUCGUAAAGCUCUGUUGUAAGAGAAGAACGAGUGUGAGAGUGGAAAGUUCACACUGUGACGGUAGCUUACCAGAAAGGGACGGCUAACUACGUG